AUUCAUUAAACCGUGACGCAGGCUCACUGGUUCGUUAUGGGCAACUCUCUUUUAUGGAUAUGGAAACAUCCUGUGCUUAUACAUGGUUAACUGCACCAGCAAGUCAUUCUUUGCGGUAGCUACAAUUGGUUUGAUCUCAUGGAUAGGACUGGCUUUGUGGAGAGAUGCAGUGGCUUAUGGUCACAACUCGCCGUUUAGAUCUUUGAAAGAACUCGUUUUUGGACCAUAAUAAACUCAAUUAGAGAGUGUAAACACCAUACACGCGUUUAUUUCAUUCAAGCAAGUCGGUUCAUACACAUGUAUUAUUAUUAUUAUUAUUUUCCUGAGUUGUUGUAUAAAACGACUAUUUUGUGUAAUUAAAGAGAUUAAAAUAUAUUCUACAAA
Non-coding RNA from Camelina sativa (false flax), 384 nucleotides. Lineage: Eukaryota; Viridiplantae; Streptophyta; Magnoliopsida; Brassicales; Brassicaceae. The record is from RefSeq and is a predicted model, not a curated record.